Molecule: ribosomal RNA, 404 nt
Filed under: uncultured bacterium
Lineage: Bacteria
Description: bacterial SSU rRNA
Rfam family: Bacterial small subunit ribosomal RNA
Source: RNAcentral
UGGGGAAUAUUGCACAAUGGGGGGAACCCUGAUGCAGCGACGCCGCGUGAGUGAAGAAGUAUUUCGGUAUGUAAAGCUCUAUCAGCAGGGAAGAUAAUGACGGUACCUGACUAAGAAGCCCCGGCUAACUACGUGCCAGCAGCCGCGGUAAUACGUAGGGGGCAAGCGUUAUCCGGAUUUACUGGGUGUAAAGGGUGCGUAGGUGGCAGGGCAAGUCAGAUGUGAAAGCCCGGGGCCCAACCCCGGUACUGCAUUUGAAACUGUCCGGCUGGAGUGCAGGAGAGGUAAGCGGAAUUCCUAGUGUAGCGGUGAAAUGCGUAGAUAUUAGGAGGAACACCAGUGGCGAAGGCGGCUUACUGGACUGUAACUGACACUGAGGCACGAAAGCGUGGGGAGCAAACAGG